RNAcentral lists this transfer RNA (82 nucleotides) under methanotrophic endosymbiont of Bathymodiolus puteoserpentis (Logatchev). It matches the Rfam family "tRNA". From Rfam's summary of the family: Transfer RNA (tRNA) molecules are approximately 80 nucleotides in length. Their secondary structure includes four short double-helical elements and three loops (D, anti-codon, and T loops). The record is from Rfam by way of RNAcentral. Lineage: Bacteria; Pseudomonadati; Pseudomonadota; Gammaproteobacteria.
GCGGGAGUGGUGGAAUUGGUAGACACGCUGGAUUUAGGUUCCAGUGCCGCAAGGUGUGAGAGUUCGAGUCUCUCCUUCCGCA